CAGAAAACCAAACACCACAUGUUCUCACUGGUGAGGACACAAUAGGAUGACCAUCAGCAAACCAGGAAUAAUGCCCUCAACAGACAUCUGAUCUGCUGACACCUUGAUCUUGGACUUCUAAUUCUGCAGAACUGUGAGAAAUAAAUAACUGUUUUUAAAAACCA
Molecule: long non-coding RNA, 164 nt
Organism: Homo sapiens (human)
Lineage: Eukaryota; Metazoa; Chordata; Mammalia; Primates; Hominidae
Exons: 2
Source: RefSeq, a predicted model, not a curated record